GGGGGUGUACAGCUCAGUGGUAGAGCAUUCGGCUGCAGGUCGAGAGGUCUCCGGUUCAAACCCGGGUGUCCCCU
This 74-nucleotide transfer RNA is filed under the name Trichonephila inaurata madagascariensis. RNAcentral's name for it is "tRNA-Cys". It matches the Rfam family "tRNA". From Rfam's summary of the family: Transfer RNA (tRNA) molecules are approximately 80 nucleotides in length. Their secondary structure includes four short double-helical elements and three loops (D, anti-codon, and T loops). Further hydrogen bonds mediate the characteristic L-shaped molecular structure. tRNAs have two regions of fundamental functional importance: the anti-codon, which is responsible for specific mRNA codon recognition, and the 3' end, to which the tRNAs corresponding amino acid is attached (by aminoacyl-tRNA synthetases). tRNAs cope with the degeneracy of the genetic code in two manners: having more than one tRNA (with a specific anti-codon) for a particular amino acid; and 'wobble' base-pairing, i.e. permitting non-standard base-pairing at the 3rd anti-codon position. The record is from RNAcentral. Lineage: Eukaryota; Metazoa; Arthropoda; Arachnida; Araneae; Nephilidae.